CGCCUUUUGACUUAUAAAUAUAAAAGGUCCUGCCUGCCCAGUGAAAUUUAUUCAACGGCCGCGGUAUUAUGACCGUGCAAAGGUAGCGUAAUCACUUGUCCUUUAAAUGAAGACCAGUAUGAACGGCAAGACGAAAGCCUAACUGUCUCUCCCCAUUAGUUAAUGAAAUUGAUUUUUCCGUGCAGAAGCGGAAAUAAUGUUAUAAGACGAGAAGACCCUGUGGAGCUUUAAGUAAAAACUAGUUAUUUAAUAUAAUAUAAUUAAAGCUUUAGGUUGGGGCGACCGUGAGGUAAAACAAAUCCCUCAAGAUAAGAUAUUAGAAGGACACUUCAAAAGACAAAAUACUGAUAUAAUUGACCCAAAAAUUGAUCAACGAACCAAGUUACCCCAGGGAUAACAGCGCAAUCCACUCACAGAGUCCUUAUCGACGAGUGGGUUUACGACCUCGAUGUUGGAUCAGGACCCCCAAAUAAUGUAACAAUUAUUAAAGGUUCGUUUGUUCAACGAUUAAAGUCCU
RNAcentral lists this ribosomal RNA (517 nucleotides) under Thorius dubitus (Acultzingo pigmy salamander). RNAcentral describes it as "partial 16S ribosomal RNA". It matches the Rfam family "Bacterial large subunit ribosomal RNA", at positions 1817 to 2597 of the family's 2925-position model. The record is from RNAcentral. Lineage: Eukaryota; Metazoa; Chordata; Amphibia; Caudata; Plethodontidae.